CCUACGGGUGGCUGCAGUGGGGAAUAUUGGGCAAUGGGCGCAAGUCUGACCCAGCAACGUCGCGUGAAGGGUGACGGCCCUCGGGUUGUAAACCUUCUUUGAUAGGGACGUAGCACGUGACGGUACUUCACUUUUACGUCACGGCUAACUACGUGCCAGCAGCCGCGGUGAUACGUAGGAGGCAGGCGUUAUCCGGAUUUACUGGGUUUAAAGGGGGUGUAGGCGGGGAAGGAAGUCAGAUGUGAAAUCUACGGGCUCAACCUGUUGACUGCAUUUGAUACUGUGUGUCUUGAGUGCAGGUGAGGCAAUCGGAAUUCGGGGUGUAGCGGUGAAAUGCGUAGAUAUACGGAAGAACACCAAUGGCGAAGGCAGAUUGCUAGACAGUAACUGACACUGAGGCGCGAAAGCGUGGGUAGCAAACAGGAUUAGAUACCCUUGUAGUC
This 443-nucleotide ribosomal RNA is filed under the name uncultured bacterium. RNAcentral's name for it is "partial 16S ribosomal RNA". It matches the Rfam family "Bacterial small subunit ribosomal RNA", at positions 338 to 795 of the family's 1533-position model. The record is from RNAcentral.